UGAGGAAUAUUGGUCAAUGGACGCAAGUCUGAACCAGCCAAGUAGCGUGCAGGAUGACGGCCCUAUGGGUUGUAAACUGCUUUUAUAUGGGGAUAAAGUGGGGAACGUGUUCCCUUUUGCAGGUACCAUAUGAAUAAGGACCGGCUAAUUCCGUGCCAGCAGCCGCGGUAAUACGGAAGGUUCGGGCGUUAUCCGGAUUUAUUGGGUUUAAAGGGAGCGUAGGCCGUUUGGUAAGCGUGUUGUGAAAUGUAGGAGCUCAACUUCUAGAUUGCAGCGCGAACUGUCAGACUUGAGUGCGCACAACGUAGGCGGAGUUCAUGGUGUAGCGGUGAAAUGCUUAGAUAUCAUGAAGAACUCCGAUUGCGAAGGCAGCUUACGGGAGCGCAACUGACGCUGAAGCUCGAAGGUGCGGGUAUCGAACAGG
This 424-nucleotide ribosomal RNA is filed under the name Verrucomicrobiota bacterium. RNAcentral's name for it is "Verrucomicrobia bacterium partial 16S ribosomal RNA". It matches the Rfam family "Bacterial small subunit ribosomal RNA", at positions 355 to 776 of the family's 1533-position model. The record is from RNAcentral. Lineage: Bacteria; Pseudomonadati; Verrucomicrobiota.